CUGGUAGUCCUAGAGAAUAAACUCCUCAUUUUAUCCAUAGAAUUUGUAUAACAUGGGCAGCAACAGUGCAAACUUCCCCACAUUGACCAAUGCCUUACCCCAUACCAGGCAGGACUACCUCCAGAAUGAAAAGUAGUGUAGUUUCCAUGCCUAUUCAAUCCUACUCCUAG
Molecule: unclassified non-coding RNA, 170 nt
Organism: Chelonoidis abingdonii (Abingdon island giant tortoise)
Lineage: Eukaryota; Metazoa; Chordata; Testudines; Testudinidae
Source: Ensembl